RNAcentral lists this long non-coding RNA (199 nucleotides) under Hordeum vulgare. RNAcentral describes it as "long non-coding RNA (HVUL_LNC006823)". The record is from RNAcentral. Lineage: Eukaryota; Viridiplantae; Streptophyta; Magnoliopsida; Poales; Poaceae.
UUUUCAUGCCAUUUGGAGUCCUGUAGAUUAUGGUUUUGCUGCUGUCAAUAUGCCUUCAGAUCGAAAACUGCAGCUUCAUAAACUGCUAUUUUCACUAAGUCCGAAACUUUGUGUGAGAAGCCAUUUUGUGACUUCUUUUCCUAGUGUUCCAUGCUUCCAUGCUAGUUGUUGUUAGUUGUAUGUUGUAGUUAUUAUUGCC